AUUGAACGCUGGCGGCAUGCUUUACACAUGCAAGUCGAACGGUAACAGGCCGCAAGGUUCUGACGAGUGGCGAACGGGUGAGUAAUGCAUCUGAACGUGCCCAGUCGUGGGGGUUAACUACUCUUAAGAGUAGCUAAUACCGCAUACGAUCUAUGUAUGAAAGCGGGGGACCGUAAGUCCUCGCUCGAUUUUUGCUUCCGAUGUCAGAUUAGGUAGUUGGUUGUGUAAAGUCUCACCAAGCCAACGAUCUGUAGCUGGUCUGAGAGUACGACCAGCCACAGUGGGACGGAGACACGGCAAAGAAGCCGACGGGAGGAAGCAGUGGGGAAUUUUGGACAAUGGGCGAAAGCAUGAUACAGAAAUGCCGAGUGAAGGAAGAAGGCAUUAGGGUUGUAAACUGCUUUUGUAAGGAACGAAAAGGCUAUGGUUAAUACCCGGGGCUAAUGACGGUACCGUAAGAAUAAGCACCGGCUAACUACGUG
Molecule: ribosomal RNA, 482 nt
Filed under: uncultured bacterium
Lineage: Bacteria
Description: partial 16S ribosomal RNA
Rfam family: Bacterial small subunit ribosomal RNA
Source: RNAcentral